Molecule: transfer RNA, 71 nt
Filed under: bovine gut metagenome
Rfam family: tRNA
About the family: Transfer RNA (tRNA) molecules are approximately 80 nucleotides in length.
Source: RNAcentral
GUGCUGUAGCUCAGGUGGUAGAGCAAUGGACUGAAAAUCCAUGUGUCGCUGGUUCAACUCCCGCCAGCACC